This 1750-nucleotide long non-coding RNA is filed under the name Mus musculus (house mouse). RNAcentral describes it as "maternally expressed 3". The stretch from base 520 to 621 matches the Rfam family "Maternally expressed 3 conserved region 2". Lineage: Eukaryota; Metazoa; Chordata; Mammalia; Rodentia; Muridae. The record is from RNAcentral.
ACAGAAGACGAAGAGCUGGAAUAGAGCUCGCCUCGGCUCUGCUGGCCUUGGCUGCAGCUCUUCCAGAAACCCGGGGCGCCCACAGAAGAAUCUCUUACCUGGCUCUCUCUUCAGGGAUGACAUCAUCGGCUCACACCAGUCUUCCAGGACCACCUUCUGGAUGCCAAGGCUGCUGCUCGAGUACCUGCUGUGCACCUCUACCUCCUGAGCCAAGGAGCACGGAUUCCAGGAACCCACUACCAUACAGAGCAACUCCUUGUGGACCCCCCUGGGAUCAGGACAGCGAGGGACAAGCGACAAAGAGGAUCAUCAGUGGCCAGCUAGUUUCUCUGGGGUUCAAACCUUGAACCAGUGCCCUAGUGAGGGGGCACUGGCCAUGGCCCUUGACCUUUGCUCUGCUUGUGUCUUGAGUCUGAGCCCUUUCCUGUACAUCUGUGCUCGUGUUCAUCUGCUAGUGAACUGGAGUGCUGCCCUCCCCGAGGAGGGUCGUCCCUUGUGACUGAUCAUGCUGUCCUAACAAUGUCCUGAGCAAAAGGGUCCCUUUGGGAACCUCUCAGGAGGGGGACCCGGGUCAGGGGCGACCAGCAUCUUGCUGGCAACUCCGUGGGUGGGGUGGGGUGGGGUGCUUCCUUCUGGAAUGAGCACGUGGCUGACCCCCCAAGGCAUGUCCCCUCCCCCUCCUCCACCCACCUUCUCGGAGAUGUCCCUUUUGGGGUAGUGGGGACAUUAGGAGCAACCUCCUAGGGUUGUUGUGAGAAUUAAAUGAACUGCAGCAGCCUGAGGCAGGGCUGGGCAGAGACCUCAGCACAUGUUUGUUGAAAGGUUUGCAGGUGGAUCUAGUCCUCCCGUUCAUGGCUCAUGUGUCUCAACCAUUCUCUCGCAGACUCCUGCAGCCCCUAUGCCCAGGGCUCUCCUUGCGCCAGAGGUAGGUGGGAAAGAGAACUGGGAGAGCCCGGACUCACUCAUGAGAUUGAACUUAAAUUCACACGGAGGACACUUGGACUCUUGCCACAUUAGGUUUAAGGCUUGGCUUGCUGGCCCUGGAGAUCCCGUCGCCGUCUUCGUCGAACUCGAAAUCCUAGCCAUCGUCCUUCCCUGGCCUGUCGCGUCUUCCUGUGCCAUUUGCUGUUGUGCUCAGGUUCCACGAGCUGCCCAUCUCCACAGAAGAGCAGCUGGCAUUGCCCACCGGCCAUGCCGGCUGAAGAAAAGAAGACUGAGGACCCCAGGAUGCCCAGCGCGAGGACCCCAGGAAGCCCAGCGCGAGGACUCCACCCACGACGCCCAGCGCGAGGACUUCACGCACAACACGUUGCAACCCUCCUGGAUUAGGCCAAAGCCAUCAUCUGGAAUCCUGCGUGGGACCCUGGACACACGGACACAGACACCUGCCCCCAGGACCCUCCAACUGUAAAUCCCUCUACAGCCACGGGGACGCCUUGCACAUUUCCUGUGGGACAUGCUGGACCCAAGACUCUGGACCCUGGCCUCCCCUUGAGUAGAGAGACCCACCUACUGACUGAUGAACUGCGCUGACCCUGGGGUCAGGCAUGUGGCCUUGAUCCCUACCCAUGGACCCUGAGACUUGGGGGGGUGGGAGAAAGGCUGUUGUGUCUUCACUGUUGAGUCUACAUCUGUGAAAUGGGCUCAGGUUCCUACCUCACAGGGCUGUUGUGAGGCAGCCGCAAUGUGCUUAGAAGCAUGGGGCCUAGUGGCUCAUGGUGCUUUCAAUAAAUUUCUUGUUUUAACUAAA